Molecule: long non-coding RNA, 259 nt
Organism: Grus americana (Whooping crane)
Lineage: Eukaryota; Metazoa; Chordata; Aves; Gruiformes; Gruidae
Exons: 3
Source: RefSeq, a predicted model, not a curated record
CCCAAAGCUAAGAUUUUUUUUUUUUUUUUUUACUCUACAGUAAUGGCGAGCACUUUGGCUAAACCCUGAAGGUUUCCGCAUGUGAAGAAAGUGCCCUUCUGGUCGUGGAGGGACUGUGGAGCCAAGAGACCCUGGAGGCGUUCUUCCUGUAUUCCUCCUCCACGGAGAAAAAGUCAUCAAAGAAUUGAAGCUGUAAACUUCCACAGACAGCAAAAUAUUUUUCGACCAGAAGAUGAUCUGUAGUGGGGUAAUGCCCUUU